AACGACCCCAGGUCAGGCGGGACCACCCGCUGAGUUUAAGCAUAUCA
RNAcentral lists this ribosomal RNA (47 nucleotides) under Agave havardiana. RNAcentral's name for it is "partial 26S ribosomal RNA". Lineage: Eukaryota; Viridiplantae; Streptophyta; Magnoliopsida; Asparagales; Asparagaceae. The record is from RNAcentral.